CCUACGGGAGGCAGCAGUGGGGAAUAUUGGGCAAUGGGCGCAAGCCUGACCCAGCAACGCCGCGUGAAGGAAGAAGGCUUUCGGGUUGUAAACUUCUUUUAAGAGGGAAGAGCAGAAGACGGUACCUCUUGAAUAAGCUCCGGCUAACUACGUGCCAGCAGCCGCGGUAAUACGUAGGGAGCGAGCGUUGUCCGGAUUUACUGGGUGUAAAGGGCGUGCAGCCGGGAGUACAAGUCAGAUGUGAAAUCCCGCGGCUCAACCGCGGAACUGCAUUUGAAACUGUAUUUCUUGAGUACUGGAGAGGC
Molecule: ribosomal RNA, 305 nt
Filed under: uncultured bacterium
Lineage: Bacteria
Description: bacterial SSU rRNA
Rfam family: Bacterial small subunit ribosomal RNA
Source: RNAcentral